This 484-nucleotide ribosomal RNA is filed under the name uncultured bacterium. RNAcentral describes it as "partial 16S ribosomal RNA". It matches the Rfam family "Bacterial small subunit ribosomal RNA", at positions 30 to 507 of the family's 1533-position model. The record is from RNAcentral.
AUUGAACGCUGGCGGCAGGCCUAACACAUGCAAGUCGAGCGGAUGAAGGGAGCUUGCUCCUGGAUUCAGCGGCGGACGGGUGAGUAAUGCCUAGGAAUCUGCCUGGUAGUGGGGGAUAACGUCCGGAAACGGGCGCUAAUACCGCAUACGUCCUGAGGGAGAAAGUGGGGGAUCUUCGGACCUCACGCUAUCAGAUGAGCCUAGGUCGGAUUAGCUAGUUGGUGGGGUAAAGGCCUACCAAGGCGACGAUCCGUAACUGGUCUGAGAGGAUGAUCAGUCACACUGGAACUGAGACACGGUCCAGACUCCUACGGGAGGCAGCAGUAGGGAAUAUUGGACAAUGGGCGAAAGCCUGAUGGAGCCACGCCGCGUGAGUGAAGAAGGUCUUCGGAUUGUAAAGCACUGUAAGUUGGGAAGAAGAACAGUAAGUGAAAAUCUUGCUGUUUUGACGUUACCAACAGAAAAAGCACCGGCUAACUACGUG